GAUUAACGCUGGCGGCGUGCCUAACACUUGCAAGUCGAGCGGCAGCGAGUUUUACACUGACUUCUGGAAGCUUCUAGUUGAAAGAGAAGAUUUAUUCAAGAAUUUUGUGUAAAAUGUCGGCGAGCGGCGGACGGCUGAGUAACGCGUGGGAACGUACCCCAAAGUGAGGGAUCACGCAUCGAAAGGUGUGCUAAUACCGCAUAUGGUCUUCGGAUUAAAGCCUUCGGGCGCUUUGGGAACGGCCUGCGUAAGAUUAGAUAGUUGGUGGGGUAAUGGCCUACCAAGUCGACGAUCUUUAACUGGUUUGAGAGGAUGAUCAGUCAGACUGGAACUGAGACACGGUCCAGACUCCUACGGGAGGCAGCAGUGAGGAAUCUUCCACAAUGGGCGAAAGCCUGAUGGAGCAACGCCGCGUGCAGGAUGAAGGCCUUCGGGUUGUAAACUGCUUUUAUAAGUGAGGAUUAUGACAGUAACUUAUGAAUAAGGAUCGGCUAACUACGUG
Molecule: ribosomal RNA, 502 nt
Filed under: uncultured bacterium
Lineage: Bacteria
Description: partial 16S ribosomal RNA
Rfam family: Bacterial small subunit ribosomal RNA
Source: RNAcentral